RNAcentral lists this long non-coding RNA (963 nucleotides) under Marmota monax (woodchuck). The record is from RNAcentral. Lineage: Eukaryota; Metazoa; Chordata; Mammalia; Rodentia; Sciuridae.
GGCUCAAGGUCCCCUUUGCUUUGUGACCUUAGAAGUUUGUUUAUUCAGGCUAUGCCUCAACAUUUUCUUUGAGAAGCAUUUUGCAAGCAGUGUUGUAAGAGCUGAAAAAGCAUAAAAUAUCUAAAACUAUUACUUCUAGGAACAUGGUGGGCUCAAUGAAUAAACAGAGUUGCUAUUUGCAUAAUUUUUCAUUAGCAUUAUUUUCUUAAUUUCUAACGUGUUGCCCUGUCAUAAAAAAACUAGAUUAAAAUAGACCCUAAAGUCAGAAGAGUUUUGAUUAGGAUGAAGGGGCUAAAUUGGUUACCCAGAUGGACUCAUUUGUUACAAGGAGAUUAUGAGAAGUAUUUAUUCAACAGUGUUCCUCAGCCAGUGUUUGGGUUAUUGGAAAAGGAAGUAUAUUGUAAUAACAAAUGACCCCAGGGAGGAGGGGAAUUGUUCUCAAAUUCUUCAUGUAUGUUCAUCUUUUCUUCCCAGAAAGAAUAUACUUCCUUGAUGGGCAAAGUCCAUUUCUUCUGUUUUUAUAACUUUCUUUUUCUUUCUCUGGGUUUUCAAGAGGAAUGCACAUAUGGAUAGAAGAAAACUAGAAAUUCUAACUACUUGUAUUGCUAAAUAUGUGUGGAGUUUUAUAUAAAUAUAUUUCAUAAGCAGUGUAAAUGGUGAGAGUUCAUACUGAUGAUUUUGUGGAACACUUGGUGUGCUAGCUUAAGUGCAGAACAUGGCAAGCUUUAGCCUCUUGGGGACCUCUGCUCUCAGCUGGUGUAACCUGUUUCUCACCUCAGAGACUCACAAACCGAAGUGCCUGGACUUCUACUGCUGAGGUCCUGCUGGCCCCUCCUGUUUUGGAAAAGGAGCCUCCAAAGUGUUCUCACUUUUGAGGAAAGUGUUUCUUGGAUUAAAAUCUGUAGAUCUUCCUGAUUUCCAUAAAUAUUCUGUGCUUUUUUUGUACUCUAAUAAAUGUUGCUG